Molecule: ribosomal RNA, 915 nt
Filed under: Lentinus squarrosulus
Lineage: Eukaryota; Fungi; Basidiomycota; Agaricomycetes; Polyporales; Polyporaceae
Description: partial large subunit ribosomal RNA
Rfam family: Eukaryotic large subunit ribosomal RNA
Source: RNAcentral
GAGGGAAAGAAACUAACAAGGAUUCCCCUAGUAACUGCGAGUGAAGCGGGAAAAGCUCAAAUUUAAAAUCUGGCGGUCUUUGGCCGUCCGAGUUGUAGUCUGGAGAAGUGCUUUCCGCGCUGGACCGUGUAUAAGUCUCUUGGAACAGAGCGUCAUAGAGGGUGAGAAUCCCGUCUUUGACACGGACUACCAGUGCUUUGUGAUGCGCUCUCAAAGAGUCGAGUUGUUUGGGAAUGCAGCUCAAAAUGGGUGGUGAAUUCCAUCUAAAGCUAAAUAUUGGCGAGAGACCGAUAGCGAACAAGUACCGUGAGGGAAAGAUGAAAAGCACUUUGGAAAGAGAGUUAAACAGUACGUGAAAUUGCUGAAAGGGAAACGCUUGAAGUCAGUCGCGUCUGCCGGAACUCAGCCUUCCUCUUGGUUGGUGCACUUUCUGGUAGACGGGCCAGCAUCGAUUUUGACCGUAGGAUAAGGGCUGGAGAAAUGUGGCACCUUCGGGUGUGUUAUAGUCUUCAGUCGCAUACUACGGUUGGGAUCGAGGACCGCAGCGCGCCGCAAGGCAGGGGUUCGCCCACUUUCGCGCUUAGGAUGCUGGCAUAAUGGCUUUAAACGACCCGUCUUGAAACACGGACCAAGGAGUCUAACAAACCUGCGAGUGUUUGGGUGGAAAACCCGAGCGCGUAAUGAAAGUGAAAGUUGAGACCUCUGUCGUGGAGGGCAUCGACGCCCGGACCUGACGUUCUCUGACGGAUCCGCGGUAGAGCAUGUUUGUUGGGACCCGAAAGAUGGUGAACUAUGCCUGAAUAGGGUGAAGCCAGAGGAAACUCUGGUGGAGGCUCGUAGCGAUUCUGACGUGCAAAUCGAUCGUCAAAUUUGGGUAUAGGGGCGAAAGACUAAUCGAACAUCUAGAACUGGUCU